This 349-nucleotide ribosomal RNA is filed under the name uncultured bacterium. RNAcentral describes it as "partial 16S ribosomal RNA". It matches the Rfam family "Bacterial small subunit ribosomal RNA", at positions 338 to 704 of the family's 1533-position model. The record is from RNAcentral.
UCUACGGGGCGCAGCAGUGGGGAAUAUUGCACAAUGGGGGAAACCCUGAUGCAGCGACGCCGCGUGGGUGAAGGAGUAUUUCGGUAUGUAAAGCCCUAUCAGCAGGGAAGAGAAUGACGGUACCUGACUAAGAAGCCCCGGCGAACUACGUGCCAGCAGCCGCGGUAAUACGUAGGGGGCAAGGGUUAUCCGGAUUUACUGGGUGUAAAGGGAGCGUAGACGGCAGCGCAAGCCUGGAGGGAAAGGCUGGGGCCCAACCCCAUGACUGCUCUGGGAACUGUGCGGCUCGAGUGCCGGAGGGGUAAGCGGCAUUCCUAGUGUAGCGGUGACCUGCGUAGCUAUUAGGAGG